This 464-nucleotide ribosomal RNA is filed under the name uncultured bacterium. RNAcentral's name for it is "partial 16S ribosomal RNA". It matches the Rfam family "Bacterial small subunit ribosomal RNA", at positions 28 to 507 of the family's 1533-position model. The record is from RNAcentral.
GACGAACGCUGGCGGCGUGCUUAACACAUGCAAGUCGAACGGUAAGGCCUUUCGAGGUCGUACUAGUGGCUAACGGGUGAGUAACACGUGAGCAACCCACCCUUGACUUCUUAUUACCAGCUGGAAACGGCUGCUAAUAUCGGCUAUUACCCCAGACCUCCUGGACUGGGGUGGAAAGCACCGGCGGGCAGGGGUGGGCUCGCGGCCUAAAAGCUUGUUUGUGAGGUAAUGGCUAUCCAAGGCUUCGACGGGUAGCCGGCCUCUGGGGGCGACCGGCCACACUGGGUCCUACGGGCGGCCGAGGCUGCUAAGGGAGGCAGCUGUGCGGAAUAUUGCACAAUGGGCGCCACCCUGAUGCAGCAGGGCCGCGUGUGGGAUGACCGCCUUCUGGUGGAAAACCGCUUUCAGUAGGGACGAAGCCACAAGUGACGGUACCUAAAGAAGAAGCACCGGCUAACUACGUG